GACGAACGCUGGCGGCGUGCUUAACACAUGCAAGUCGAACGGAAAGGCCCUGCUUUUGUGGGGUGCUCGAGUGGCGAACGGGUGAGUAACACGUGAGUAACCUGCCCUUGACUUUGGGAUAACUUCAGGAAACUGGGGCUAAUACCGGAUAGGAGCUCCUGCUGCAUGGUGGGGGUUGGAAAGUUUCGGCGGUUGGGGAUGGACUCGCGGCUUAUCAGCUUGUUGGUGGGGUAGUGGCUUACCAAGGCUUUGACGGGUAGCCGGCCUGAGAGGGUGACCGGCCACAUUGUGACUGAGAUACGGCCCAGACUCCUACGGGAGGCAUCAGUGGGGAAUAUGGCACAAUGGGCGGAAGCCUGAUGCAGCAACGCCGCGUGCGGGAUGACGGCCUUCUGGUUGUAAACCGCUUUCGCCUGUGACGAAGCGUGAGUGACGGUAAUGGGUAAAGAAGCACCGGCUAACUACGUG
RNAcentral lists this ribosomal RNA (468 nucleotides) under uncultured bacterium. RNAcentral describes it as "partial 16S ribosomal RNA". It matches the Rfam family "Bacterial small subunit ribosomal RNA", at positions 28 to 507 of the family's 1533-position model. The record is from RNAcentral.